CACGUAGUUAGCCGUGACUUCCUCGCCGGGUACCAUCACUCAGAAAGCUUUCCACUCUUUCUGCCUCUUGUCCCCGGCAACAGAGCUUUACGAUCCGAAGACCUUCCUCGCUCACGCGGCAUUGCUCGUUCAGGGUUCCCCCCAUUGACGAAAAUUCCCUACUGCUGCCUCCCGCAGGAGUCUGGGCCGUGUCUCAGUCCCAGUGUGGCCGUCCGCCCUCUCAGGCCGGCUAUGCAUCGUCGCCUUGGUGAGCCGUUACCUCUCCAACCAGCUAAUGCACCGCAGGUCCAUCUGCAUGCGGGACUCUUGUCCCCUUUUACCAAAAAGAAGAUGCCUCCUCUUUGCUCAUCCGGUAUCAGCUUCCGUUCCAGUAAGUUCCUCCCGCUCAUGCAGGCAGGUUCCCUACGUCGUUACCCACCCGUUCGCCACUCAUACUCCGAAGACUACUCCGUUCGACUUGCUAUGUUAUUAGGCAUCGCCGCCAGUCGUUCACUCUGACGCC
This 502-nucleotide ribosomal RNA is filed under the name uncultured Erysipelotrichaceae bacterium. Its description in RNAcentral is "partial 16S ribosomal RNA". The record is from RNAcentral. Lineage: Bacteria; Bacillati; Bacillota; Erysipelotrichia; Erysipelotrichales; Erysipelotrichaceae.